RNAcentral lists this long non-coding RNA (892 nucleotides) under Onthophagus taurus. RNAcentral describes it as "uncharacterized LOC111423372". Lineage: Eukaryota; Metazoa; Arthropoda; Insecta; Coleoptera; Scarabaeidae. The record is from RNAcentral.
AACGAGCAAAAAAAAAGAAUUCACGACAACGAGAAAAUCGUUGCAUGUUACACUCCUCCGGCUUGUGUCAUCCUAUUUUUUGAUUGAAAUUAGUUUCUGGCCCGGAGUGGAUUGUUUCUCUUUGUCGACGAUAGAUUGUUUCUCUUCGUCUCACAAUCAAGAAACCCGACGUCCGUCGUCGGUCUGCAUCAUUACUUCAUUAUGUUUCCUUUGUUUUUCGCGAACAAAACGUAAAGUUAUUUUCUCAUUUAAGCGCUAAUCGUAGCAGACGCCAUAUAGCUUUUGACAAUGAGAAAUGCGAUGUUGUUUCAAACAUCAAAACCACAAUCAGAAAAACAUUUUUAAACCUAACAUUAUAUUCCUAUUAUAAUUAAACCUUUUAGAUAAACACAUAUAAAGACAUUUAAGAAUGUACGAGGAUUUUAUAAAAGAAAAUAAGUGGACACUCUGGGUUGUAUAUGUAUAGUGUAGUACGCAAGUGGUCGCGGUAACGUUCGCGAUUCUUUGUUCUUCUGGGUCGAGCCGUCGCGACAAGAACGGCAGCAUGGUACGGCGACGGCGAGGGGAGAGGUGGAACUGGUGGUAGAGGGCAGAGGGAAGAAGGCAAAAAUGCAGUUUAUAGAGUCCAUUAAUCCAGGCGCACGUUCAAGCUCUCGGUCGCACCGCGCCGCCCGCCCGACCACGUCUGCAUGCAUUAAUUGCAUCCUGGGGCGAUCUCAAGUUCGGAUGCUGCGUCGUCCAAGGUCACCAGGCCAAACAUUGUCUAUUUUAAAUUCUGCGCGGACCAGCUCCAAACCAAACUUUCAAACAAGAAUCAAAAGUUUUAAAACUAACAAAAUUUAGACAAUAUUUUAUAUCAAUAAAACUAUAAUUACAUUCUCUUUUUUGGCUA